GCCGAGGUGGCGGAAUGGUAGACGCGGCGGACUUAAAAUCCGCUUCCCUCAAGGGAGUGUGGGUUCGAGUCCCUCCCUCGGCA
Molecule: transfer RNA, 83 nt
Filed under: Chloroflexota bacterium
Lineage: Bacteria; Bacillati; Chloroflexota
Also listed under: 2 other names
Description: Chloroflexi bacterium tRNA-Leu
Rfam family: tRNA
About the family: Transfer RNA (tRNA) molecules are approximately 80 nucleotides in length.
Source: RNAcentral